This 253-nucleotide ribosomal RNA is filed under the name uncultured bacterium. Its description in RNAcentral is "partial 16S ribosomal RNA". It matches the Rfam family "Bacterial small subunit ribosomal RNA", at positions 524 to 776 of the family's 1533-position model. The record is from RNAcentral.
UACAGAGGGUGCGAGCGUUAAUCGGAGUUACUGGGCGUAAAGGGCGCGUAGGCGGUUUAAUAAGAUUGAUGUGAAAUCCCUGGGCUUAACCUAGGAACUGCAUCGAUGACUAUUGAGCUGGAGUAUUGUAGAGGGUAGUGGAAUUUCCGGUGUAGCGGUGAAAUGCGUAGAGAUCGGAAGGAACACCAGUGGCGAAGGCGGCUACCUGGACAAAUACUGACGCUGAGGCGCGAGAGCGUGGGGAGCAAACAGG